This is a non-coding RNA of Poecilia reticulata (guppy), 1092 nucleotides long. NCBI's taxonomy places the organism in Eukaryota, Metazoa, Chordata, Actinopteri, Cyprinodontiformes, Poeciliidae. The record is from RefSeq and is a predicted model, not a curated record.
CGUGUUAUGAUGACUUCAACACAUUUCUUCUGACAGGUUGGCAGAAGAAAUGCUGACCAGAUUGUUUUUAUAAGCUGCCUAAUUUCUAUAAUGCCUAAUGUCUGAGUUGUGUUCAUGGUAAUUAUUUCUGACAUUUUUAUGCUUCAUGUUGUAGUUGGUGAAAAAUGCUCUCCAGGGUAAACCGGGUGGACAAAGUAUUUUGGUUGGGAAAACCAGGCAUUCUUCUGUUGGUUCAUGUGCUUCGUCCUACAUCCAAAGGCCACAAGAAGAAUCCAAAACGGCUCAUGUCAAACUGUGGACCAUGUUUUCAGAUAUGUGCAGAUGCAAGCCAGUGUUGAAGCCUUCCUCAUUGCCGUGGAACCAGGACAGCCCUUCCUUCUGCAUGUUGGUGAAAACAAGAGCAGCACCAAAGACACUUCACAAUCAGUGAUCAAAAGAUAAUCCAAGCUAGCUUUUGAUGAACUUUGAAAGCACAAUUCACCUUCAGUGCAAAGUACCAUGAAUUCCUCUACAACUUCUGUAUAUUAAUCCAGUCUACAGUUUUCAACAUUGAUGAGACUUGCAUAACAAUUGAGGAGUUUAAGAUCCUUGCUUUUACUUUACCUGGUAGAGUGGACACUCUUUAUUAUGAUGAUCAUUUAAAUACAUACUGUAUCAACGAGAGGAUUUGUUUUAUGUUUUUCCGAUUAAGGACUUGGUUUAUUACAGUCCCUGUGGCAAGCAGUUUUUUGCAUGGUCAGUAUUGAAGGCCAUAUUGUCUUUGAGAGGGUCCAGCCAACAUUCCAGACAGGACAGCGUUGUCCAUCUUCUACAUCUACAUCUUCUACAUUCUAACAUUUGAUGAAGGUGGUGAUGUUUUCUCUUUACAUAAUUAAAAACAGCUUUAUUUACAUAUUGUACCAGCUGUAUUCAGAAUGCCACGCUAUUUAUAUUCUCAGGAAUUUUCCCAUUUUGAUUGUAUUUUUUAGUCGCUUCAUUGGGAUUAACCCAGAAAGGGGCACAAAAGCCGGUCAUGGGAAGAUGGUACCCAAAAAGACAGGAAACACCAUUCAAAAUAAAAAGUGACUGUCAAUGUUCAGGUUUCCACCGUCA